AGCUCCAAUAGCGUAUAUUAAAGUUGUUGCAGUUAAAAAGCUCGUAGUUGGAUUUCAAAGUGGAGGUGAGGCAACUCAUUGAAGCUUAUCAAUCCGAAAGGAUUGUUACUGUGAGAAAAUUAGAGUGUUUCAAGCAGGCUAUUGCAGGAAUACAUUAGCAUGGAAUAACGAAUGUGUCUAGAAUCUUGGUUAAUUCUGGAUUUCAAUUAAUAGGGACAGUUGGGGGCAUUAGUAUUUAAUUGUCAGAGGUGAAAUUCUUGGAUUUGUUAAAGACUAACGUAUGCGAAAGCAUUUGCCAAGGAUGUUUUCA
This 310-nucleotide ribosomal RNA is filed under the name uncultured eukaryote. Its description in RNAcentral is "SSU rRNA". It matches the Rfam family "Eukaryotic small subunit ribosomal RNA", at positions 587 to 972 of the family's 1831-position model. The record is from RNAcentral.